This 583-nucleotide ribosomal RNA is filed under the name uncultured bacterium. RNAcentral describes it as "partial 16S ribosomal RNA". It matches the Rfam family "Bacterial small subunit ribosomal RNA", at positions 355 to 1375 of the family's 1533-position model. The record is from RNAcentral.
UGGGGAAUUUUGGACAAUGGGCGAAAGCCUGAUCCAGCAAUGCCGCGUGUGUGAAGAAGGCCUUCGGGUUGUAAAGCACUUUUGUCCGGAAAGAAAUCCUUGGCUCUAAUACAGUCGGGGGAUGACGGUACCGGAAGAAUAAGCACCGGCUAACUACGUGCCAGCAGCCGCGGUAAUACGUAGGGUGCAAGCGUUAAUCGGAAUUACUGGGCGUAAAGCGUGCGCAGGCGGUUUGCUAAGACCGAUGUGAAAUCCCCGGGCUAACCUGGGAACUGCAUUGGUGACUGGCAGGCUAGAGUAUGGCAGAGGGGGGUAGAAUUCCACGUGUAGCAGUGAAAUGCGUAGAGAUGUGGAGGAAUACCGAUGGCGAAGGCAGCCCCCUGGGCCAAUACUGACGCUCAUGCACGAAAGCGUGGGGAGCAAACAGGAUUAGAUACCCUGGUAGUCCACGCCCUAAACGAUGUCAACUAGUUGUUGGGGAUUCAUUUCCUUAGUAACGAGCUAACGCGUGAAGUUGACCGCCUGGGGAGUACGGUCGCAAGAUUAAAACUCAAAGGAAUUGACGGGGUCAUAGCUGUUUCCU